UGAUAGGCUAGGGGUGGACGCGCAGCAAUGUGUGGAGCUGACUAGUACUAAUCGGUCGAGGGCUUAUCCUU
This 71-nucleotide ribosomal RNA is filed under the name Saccharibacillus soli. RNAcentral's name for it is "Saccharibacillus sp. O16 partial 23S ribosomal RNA". Lineage: Bacteria; Bacillati; Bacillota; Bacilli; Caryophanales; Paenibacillaceae. The record is from RNAcentral.